Molecule: ribosomal RNA, 444 nt
Filed under: uncultured bacterium
Lineage: Bacteria
Description: partial 16S ribosomal RNA
Rfam family: Bacterial small subunit ribosomal RNA
Source: RNAcentral
GUAGGGAAUAUUGGGCAAUGGUCGGAAGACUGACCCAGCCAUGCCGCGUGCAGGAAGACGGCCCUCUGGGUUGUAAACUGCUUUUAUCUGGGAAGAAAAAGGCCAUGCGUGGCAAAUUGCCGGUACCAGAUGAAUAAGCACCGGCUAACUCCGUGCCAGCAGCCGCGGUAAUACGGAGGGUGCAAGCGUUGUCCGGAUUUAUUGGGUUUAAAGGGUGCGUAGGCGGCUGAUUAAGUCAGCGGUGAAAGACUUCGGCUUAACCGGAGCAGUGCCGUUGAUACUGGUUGGCUUGAGUGUCGGAGGGGUACAUGGAAUUGAUGGUGUAGCGGUGAAAUGCAUAGAUACCAUCAGGAACACCGAUAGCGAAGGCAUUGUACUGGCCGACAACUGACGCUGAUGCACGAAAGUGUGGGGAUCGAACAGGAUUAGAAACCCUGGUAGUCC